This is a non-coding RNA of Paramuricea clavata, 593 nucleotides long. NCBI's taxonomy places the organism in Eukaryota, Metazoa, Cnidaria, Anthozoa, Malacalcyonacea, Plexauridae. The record is from the annotation of a GenBank genome assembly.
CACUCAUACUACAGCUGGAACAUCAGGGAGGCCAGGAAAAACCUGCAAUAUCUUUACAGGAAACCUGGAUGGGGCCAAGACAACCAGCAGCUUCCCCACAAAGCUUCUAUCUUACAAGUGCUUGAUUGGAGGGUUGGUAACACGACAAACAAAGCUCACCAUCAUUUUUUUUUCCCUUACGAUUUAUUUAUUUUUAAUGUCAAUGUGUUCGAUAGCAAUUUUGCAACAUGUAUUUGUUAACCCCACUUAUUUUAUUUGAAUUAUGAUUGGUGGAACUUGACAUAAUGUAAUUCUCGAAUUAUAUGACUUUAAUCUCAGGAAAAAUAGCUUGUUCAAUAUUUUAAAAUAGCAGGAUCAAAAUGCAAUGCAGGUGUUUAUAACCACAGUGUUGUGAUUGAACAUGCAAUCAUGCAUGCAUGAGAGUAGCAGAAAUUGUAAGAAUAUGUAUUUGGUAAACUAAAAAGAUCAUGCAGUAUAGUGAUAAGACAUUUAUGAAUUUUCAUGAGUAACCAAUCUUUCAUGACAUCCAACUUGCCGAUUCAUCGCAAAUGUAGAUAAAGUAGAUCCUAAAUUUCUCUCACACAUGAACUUGA